Maylandia zebra (zebra mbuna) is the source of this 703-nucleotide non-coding RNA. The record is from RefSeq and is a predicted model, not a curated record. NCBI's taxonomy places the organism in Eukaryota, Metazoa, Chordata, Actinopteri, Cichliformes, Cichlidae.
CCAUUAAAGUGCUUAAGUAAAUAAAAGUGUUCAAAAACAGCGGUUUUUGAGCCGGAGUUCUGCUCGUGGUGGGAACGCCGCCGCAAAAAGCCACUUUUUAAUCGCGAAAACGAUCGACUGGUUACUGACAACCAAAAGGUUGUUUUUGGUAGAUAUUAAAGAUCAUGGGUGGGCGGGGCAAAUGGAGCAGUUUUCUACAGUCGAGUAAAAUUCCAGGAAAGAGCUGGGUGUGGCUUUCCUUUAAAUCACAUGAUCAACAGCUUUAAGAUGGAGGCAACUCGCUCAGUGUUUCCUGUUUCAUUCUUAGACUGUGGCGAUGGCCGACCAAGAGCAAAAUAGAAGACAACAAUUUCUCAAAGGAGGUUCAAAACUAAUGCCUACAAGAUUACCAAGAGGAGGGUUCGGGGCUCUUACAUGACUCCAGGAAGUCAACACUUGGUGGAUGAGGUGUGUUACCUUUGACACUUUUAAGACAGUCCUGUUUAUCACUACUAACAAUAAGCAAAUAUGUUUUCACUCAACAGAUCCUUCACAGCAUGUUGUUUCUGGGCAAAAUCAACAACAUCCCCUUUUCUCCAGAAGAAAUCUUCCCUAAUCCUUUUGUUUUGGGUUCUUUAAUGAGAAGAUAUCCCAGGCCUUUAAAGUUGUAUUCGACUCAGCUUCCCAGGCGAAGUCCCUUCUCCUGUGUGCUCGACAUGGUAAG